Molecule: ribosomal RNA, 253 nt
Filed under: uncultured bacterium
Lineage: Bacteria
Description: partial 16S ribosomal RNA
Rfam family: Bacterial small subunit ribosomal RNA
Source: RNAcentral
UACGGGGGGGGCAAGCGUUGUUCGGAAUUACUGGGCGUAAAGGGCUCGUAGGCGGCCAACUAAGUCAGACGUGAAAUCCCUCGGCUUAACCGGGGAACUGCAUCUGAUACUGGAUGGCUUGAGUUCGGGAGAGGGAUGCGGAAUUCCAGGUGUAGCGGUGAAAUGCGUAGAUAUCAGGAGGAACACCGGUGGCGAAGGCGGUUCUCUGGGCAUUACCUGACGCUGAGGAGCGAAAGUGUGGGGAGCGAACAGG